AGAGUUUGAUCAUGGCUCAGAUUGAACGCUGGCGGCAUGCCUUACACAUGCAAGUCGAACGGCAGCGCGGGGCAACCUGGCGGCGAGUGGCGAACGGGUGAGUAAUAUAUCGGAACGUACCCUGGAGUGGGGGAUAACGUAGCGAAAGUUACGCUAAUACCGCAUACGAUCUAAGGAUGAAAGCAGGGGACCGCAAGGCCUUGUGCUCCUGGAGCGGCCGAUAUCUGAUUAGCUAGUUGGUGGGGUAAAGGCCUACCAAGGCAUCGAUCAGUAGCUGGUCUGAGAGGACGACCAGCCACACUGGAACUGAGACACGGUCCAGACUCCUACGGGAGGCAGCAGUGGGGAAUUUUGGACAAUGGGCGCAAGCCUGAUCCAGCAAUGCCGCGUGAGUGAAGAAGGCCUUCGGGUUGUAAAGCUCUUUUGUCAGGGAAGAAACGGUGUGGGCUAAUAUCCCGUACUAAUGACGGUACCUGAAGAAUAAGCACCGGCUAACUACGUGCCAGCAGCCGCGGUA
Molecule: ribosomal RNA, 517 nt
Filed under: uncultured Pseudomonadota bacterium
Lineage: Bacteria; Pseudomonadati; Pseudomonadota
Description: bacterial SSU rRNA
Rfam family: Bacterial small subunit ribosomal RNA
Source: RNAcentral